CUGUGACUUUGUCGAGCUCUCUAGUUUAAUGGAGGAGUCGCGGCUAAUGGGAGAAAGAGCUACGGUGCAAAUCCAACUGUGUUAAGGGAUGUGGGCUCCGUUUUUUUUAUUGGGUCAUCAGGGGUGGGCUCGUUUAUAUGGACUAAUAUAUCUACUCAACCCACUUAGAAGUUGCCACUGCCACUUUCUUCAUCUCCAGGCUCCAGCACCGUCUCUACUUUGCGCUGCACCGCUGCUGUUGUUGUUUCUGCCUUGCACUGCCAGAUUCGCCACUGAUGUAAUCCCUCUUGUCUACUCGCCAUCGUCGUGUUCGUCAUUGCUGGAGCUCGCGUCUUGUUCGGCAUGGACCUUCGACGAGGCUUCCAUGGAUCACAGUAAGGUCUUUGUCAACUCCUUGUAGGUUCUCUUUCAUUCUCGUUAUCACUAUUUCAUUCUCAGCUUAGAUUUACAUUUAUUUUUCACUGUCUUAACCUUUCGGUUACUCUCUGGUUUGAUAGUGAAGAUGAAUUCUAUUUUUCUGAUAAAAUGCGGUGGAAUCGCAUCGUUUCUUAAGCUGUGCGCUUCCAUUGCUAAUUGCAGUUGUUGACUUAAAUUUGAAACCUCAAUUAUAUAUGUUUUUGAAGAGUUUUGUUGUUGUAAAUUGCCAUUACAUAUGUGAAAAAUAUGACGGGUGGAAGAGGUUGCAUUAAAAUCUAGGAUGGAAGUAAGAAACAAUGGUGUUGAGUUCGAAAGGGAAAUCUAAUCAUGUUACUGAAAAUUUGAGAUAUCUUAUACAUUAGAUUAUUAUAAUUGAGGUUACUUUUGACUUAUAUAGUAGAUCCAAAUUAUACUAAUUUGUGACAUUAAGUAAGUUGAAACUCCGGAUGAUAUAAUAUUUUUUUUUGUCGAUUUUUACAGUAUUAUUGUACCUAUAUAUGACUUUUUCUCUUUUUAUUAUUUCUGGUUCGUUGAGUUUGAGGUCCAGUUCCUUGUCUACCUACUGAAAUUUUGGCAUUUGCAAUGGCAAGCUAUAUACAGAAAAGGGAGACAUUUGUCAAUUAUUAGUUUAUUACAUGGAACUACUCGAAUUAGGUGAAGCUGUUGGAACCCAAAGCCGUGGUCUUACCCAAGAGCAAAUUUCGAUGCUUCCAGUUUCAUCAAAGUACAAGUGUGGGUUCUUCUCAAGGAAGAAGUCGAGGGAUGAGAGGCUUGUCCUAUAUGUUACAGAGAAGUGUUUUAGCCAACAGAAAUAAUCUCGGACAAAUUUGUAGAAGUAACAUGCAUAUGAUUCUGUUCUCCUUUAUAAAAUAUUAUAGGACGAUUGACAAUUUGACAUGCAUUGUGUUGUAUUGGAUAACCUGGAUUUCCACCAUUUUUAUAACAUUCUUUAAACUUCUAUCGAUCAGGGUAGUUACAUCAUUGGACAAAUAAGUGAUUAACUU
Molecule: RNA transcript, 1421 nt
Organism: Arachis duranensis
Lineage: Eukaryota; Viridiplantae; Streptophyta; Magnoliopsida; Fabales; Fabaceae
Exons: 3
Source: RefSeq, a predicted model, not a curated record